CUCUAAGCGGUGGAUCACUCGGUUCUCGGCUCGAUGAAGAACGCAGCCAGCUGCGAGACUUGGUGUGAAUUGCAGGACACACUGAGCACUUACUCUUUGAACGCACAUUGCGGCCUCGGGCCAUCCCGUGGCUUCGUCUGUCUGAGUUUCGG
Molecule: ribosomal RNA, 152 nt
Filed under: Ixodes acutitarsus
Lineage: Eukaryota; Metazoa; Arthropoda; Arachnida; Ixodida; Ixodidae
Description: 5.8S rRNA
Rfam family: 5.8S ribosomal RNA
About the family: 5.8S ribosomal RNA (5.8S rRNA) is a component of the large subunit of the eukaryotic ribosome.
Source: RNAcentral